UUUUAUUACUUUAAAAAAUAUCAUAAUUUCUAAUUUUAUAAUUUUACUUUAUUUCAGUGCUUUAUGUUUGAAAUUUAUUAAAUAUACCAUUUUUUCGGAUUUUAUUACUUUCGGUGAAUAUACAAUUUCUGUUUUUUUUCUUUUCGUAUUUUAUGUUUUCUUAAACAUAUUUUUUUAUCAUUUUAUUUUUAAUGCUAUUUUUCUAAAAAAAACUAAUUAUAACAUUCUAAAUAAAUUUCAUAAAAAAAAUUCCUAAUUAAUAUACAAUGUACAUAACAUGAAUUUUUUUAUGCUAAAUAAAUUUCAUAAAAUUUAUAUGCUAAAUAAAAUAAGAAAACACGUAUAAUGUACAUAACAUAACUUUUUUACACACAAAUAUUACAAAAAAUUAAAAUUAAUAAUAAAAAAUUACCUUUUUUCUUUCUUUUUCCUCCCUCCCCUCUUCUUCUUCUUCUCUUCUCCUUUUCUUUUCUUUCCUUUCCUUCUUUUUUUUUCUUCUUCUCCUUUCCUUUUCUUUCCUCUCCUUUCCUUUUCUUUCUUUUUCUUUCUUUCCCUCUCCUUCUCUUCCCCCCACCCACCAGCCGGCUGACCCAUUAUAUGGGCAGUGCCGCCCAUGGGAAUGGCACAACCGGUGCCGCCUAUGGGAAAGGCACAUUUGGUGCCGCCCAUGGGCUACCCUCCACCAGGGUAUUGUCACAUCACCUGUAGUAUUUUUUUCUGAUUUUUAUUUUUUUAAUAUUAUUUUCGUAAUUAAAAAAUAU
RNAcentral lists this long non-coding RNA (761 nucleotides) under Gossypium raimondii (Peruvian cotton). Its description in RNAcentral is "long non-coding RNA (GRAI_LNC001816)". The record is from RNAcentral. Lineage: Eukaryota; Viridiplantae; Streptophyta; Magnoliopsida; Malvales; Malvaceae.